This is a non-coding RNA of Chelonoidis abingdonii (Abingdon island giant tortoise), 107 nucleotides long. The record is from RefSeq and is a predicted model, not a curated record. Lineage: Eukaryota; Metazoa; Chordata; Testudines; Testudinidae.
CCCAACCCCAAUUUUGUGAGUAGUCAUGGCCGCCGUACAAUUUCUAUCCCCCAAUGUGGCCCUCGGGCCAAAAAGUUUGCCCAUCCCUGGUGAAGGAAGCACAUGGC